GAUGAACGCUAGCGGCAGGCCUAAUACAUGCAAGUCGAGGGGUAACAGAAAAAGCUUGCUUUUUGCUGACGACCGGCGCACGGGUGCGUAACGCGUAUGCAACCUGCCCAUCACUGGGGGAUAGCCCGGGGAAACCCGGAUUAAUACCCCAUGAUACCAUAAAGUAGCAUUGCUUAUUGGUUAAAGAUUCAUUGGUGAUGGAUGGGCAUGCGUCUGAUUAGUUAGUUGGUGAGGUAACGGCUCACCAAGACGACGAUCAGUAGCGGGUCUGAGAGGAUGAUCCGCCACACUGGUACUGAGACACGGACCAGACUCCUACGGGAGGCAGCAGUAGGGAAUAUUGGGCAAUGGAGGCAACUCUGACCCAGCCAUGCCGCGUGAAGGAAGAAGGCCUUCUGGGUUGUAAACUUCUUUUAUACAGGAAUAAAAGACCCAUGCGUGGGGCAUUGAAUGUACUGUAUGAAUAAGCACCGGCUAACUCCGUGCCAGCCGCCGCAGUAACAC
RNAcentral lists this ribosomal RNA (504 nucleotides) under uncultured bacterium. RNAcentral's name for it is "bacterial SSU rRNA". It matches the Rfam family "Bacterial small subunit ribosomal RNA", at positions 28 to 526 of the family's 1533-position model. The record is from RNAcentral.